RNAcentral lists this ribosomal RNA (814 nucleotides) under uncultured bacterium. RNAcentral's name for it is "bacterial SSU rRNA". It matches the Rfam family "Bacterial small subunit ribosomal RNA", at positions 8 to 826 of the family's 1533-position model. The record is from RNAcentral.
AGAGUUUGAUCCUGGCUCAGAAUGCUUUUUGGCGGCGUGGAUUAGGCAUGCAAGUCGUACGGUAAGCUCCUUAGCUUGCUAUGGAGCCUAGAGUGGCGAAAGGGAUAGGACAAUGUAGAUAACAUACCCUCGGGACCGGGAUAGCGUUUGGAAACGAACGGUAAUACCGGAUAACAUCUCCGGAUCAAAGGUGAGAUUCCGCCUGAGGAUUGGUUUACACACUAUUAGAUAGUUGGCGGGGUAAAGGCCCACCAAGUCAAAGAUGGUUACCGGGCGUGAGAGCGUGACCCGGAUCACUGGGACUGAGACACUGCCCAGACACCUACGGGUGGCUGCAGUCGAGAAUCUUCGGCAAUGGGCGCAAGCCUGACCGAGCGACGCCGCGUGUGUGAUGAAGGUCUUCGGAUUGUAAAGCACUGUCGUGUAGGAGGAAAUCACAUGGGGCAAUCCCCAUGUGUUGACCUAUCACAGGAGGAAGGACGGGCUAAGUUCGUGCCAGCAGCCGCGGUAAGACGAACUGUCCAAACGUUAUUCGGAAUCACUGGGCUUAAAGGGUGCGUAGGCGGUUACAUAAGUGGGGUCUGAAAUCCCGCAGCUCAACUGCGGAACUGGGCUUCAAACUGUAUGACUAGAGUGAGGCAGGGGUAAGCGGAACUUGCGGUGGAGCGGUGAAAUGCUUUGAUAUUGCAAGGAACACCGGUGGCGAAAGCGGCUUACUUGGCCUUUACUGACGCUGAAGCACGAAAGCCAGGGUAGCGAACGGGAUUAGAUACCCCGGUAGUCCUGGCUGUAAACGCUGAGUACUUGGUCGGAG